This 263-nucleotide unclassified non-coding RNA is filed under the name plant metagenome. RNAcentral describes it as "partial contains small subunit ribosomal RNA, internal transcribed spacer 1, and 5.8S ribosomal RNA". The record is from RNAcentral.
UUUCCGUAGGUGAACCUGCGGAAGGAUCAUUAUUGUAUAACCGAGGUGCGAGGGCUGUCGCUGACCCGAAAGGUCGUGCACGCCCGAGUGCCCUCACACACAUCCAUCUCACCCCUAUGUGCACAACCGCGUGGGUCCCCCUUUGGCUUGUUCGGAGGGGGGCUUACGUUUUCACACAAACUUUGUAUGUAGUGUAGAAUGUAUUUUUUGUUUUUGCGAUCACGCAAUCAAUACAACUUUCAACAAUGGAUCUCUUGGCUCUC